RNAcentral lists this small RNA (131 nucleotides) under Rhizobium sp. BK529. Its description in RNAcentral is "sRNA ar35". It matches the Rfam family "Alphaproteobacterial sRNA ar35". The record is from RNAcentral. Lineage: Bacteria; Pseudomonadati; Pseudomonadota; Alphaproteobacteria; Hyphomicrobiales; Rhizobiaceae.
AUCGUUAACCGGUCGUUAGUCUUUCGAGAUCAGUCUAGCUGUGCACUAUCCGCUUCUCCUUUGACCACGGAUGUACUGGCACUGAGAUGAGGUGGAUAGCGGAAGGCCGGUUUGCCCCGGCCUUUUUGUUU